This is a long non-coding RNA of Eriocheir sinensis (Chinese mitten crab), 832 nucleotides long. RefSeq lists it as uncharacterized. NCBI's taxonomy places the organism in Eukaryota, Metazoa, Arthropoda, Malacostraca, Decapoda, Varunidae. The transcript has 3 exons. The record is from RefSeq and is a predicted model, not a curated record.
AGAGAAGAGCUUUAUGUUGGUUUUAUGGAUUUCUUUUUUCGGCGGCAAAGUUUUGGGUCUCGGUAGUAGAAGAGUGUUUUGUGUUGCUUUCUGUGGUAUUUGACUUCUUUGGAGGGGUGAGUUUUGUUUUGGUGUGGGUGGUAGAGGUGAGUUUUGAGUUGCUUUCUGUGGUAUUUGACUUCUUUGGAGGGGCAAGUUUUGUUUUGGUGUGGGUGAUAGAGGUGAGUUUUGAGUUGCUUUCUGUGGUAUUUGACUUCUUUGGAGGGGCAAGUUUUGUUUUGGUGUGGGUGAUAGAGGUGAGUUUUGAGUUGCUUUCUGUGGUAUUUGACUUCUUUGGAGGGGCAAGUUUUGUUUUGGUGUGGGUGGUAGAGGUGAGUUUUGAGUUGCUUUCUGUGGUAUUUGACUUCUUUGGAGGGGCAAGUUUUGUUUUGGUGUGGGUGGUAGAGGUGAGUUUUGUGUUGCUUUCUGUGGUAUUUGACUUCUUUGGAGGGGCAAGUUUUGUUUUUGGUGUGGGUGGUAGAGGUGAGUUUUGUGUUGCUUUCUGUGGUAUUUGACUUCUUUGGAGGGGCAAGUUUUGUUUUGGUGUGGGUGGUAGAGGUGAGUUUUGUGUUGCUUUCUGUGGUAUUUGACUUCUUUGGAGGGGCAAGUUUUGUUUUGGUGUGGGUGAUAGAGGUGAGUUUUGAGUUACUUUCUGUGGUAUUUGCCUCCUUUUGGGUGAGUUUCUGUGUCUACUCUACAGCUCUACAGGAGAUUCGCACCAAAGCCAUGUGUAGGUAGAGCGUAUGUCCCCCAAAUUUACCCUUUCUUUAUCUCCCAAGUCUUCACACGCCCC